RNAcentral lists this ribosomal RNA (627 nucleotides) under Sphingobacterium multivorum. RNAcentral's name for it is "bacterial SSU rRNA". It matches the Rfam family "Bacterial small subunit ribosomal RNA", at positions 201 to 828 of the family's 1533-position model. The record is from RNAcentral. Lineage: Bacteria; Pseudomonadati; Bacteroidota; Sphingobacteriia; Sphingobacteriales; Sphingobacteriaceae.
UUAAAUAUUUAUAGGAUAGAGAUGGGCUCGCGUGACAUUAGCUAGUUGGUAGGGUAACGGCUUACCAAGGCGACGAUGUCUAGGGGCUCUGAGAGGAGAAUCCCCCACACUGGUACUGAGACACGGACCAGACUCCUACGGGAGGCAGCAGUAAGGAAUAUUGGUCAAUGGGCGGAAGCCUGAACCAGCCAUGCCGCGUGCAGGAUGACUGCCCUAUGGGUUGUAAACUGCUUUUGUCCAGGAAUAAACCUAGAUACGUGUAUUUAGCUGAAUGUACUGGAAGAAUAAGGAUCGGCUAACUCCGUGCCAGCAGCCGCGGUAAUACGGAGGAUCCGAGCGUUAUCCGGAUUUAUUGGGUUUAAAGGGUGCGUAGGCGGCCUAUUAAGUCAGGGGUGAAAUACGGUGGCUCAACCAUCGCAGUGCCUUUGAUACUGAUGGGCUUGAAUCCAUUUGAAGUGGGCGGAAUAAGACAAGUAGCGGUGAAAUGCAUAGAUAUGUCUUAGAACUCCGAUUGCGAAGGCAGCUCACUAAGCUGGUAUUGACGCUGAUGCACGAAAGCGUGGGGAUCGAACAGGAUUAGAUACCCUGGUAGUCCACGCCCUAAACGAUGAUAACUCGAUGUUGGCG